This 495-nucleotide ribosomal RNA is filed under the name uncultured bacterium. RNAcentral describes it as "partial 16S ribosomal RNA". It matches the Rfam family "Bacterial small subunit ribosomal RNA", at positions 28 to 507 of the family's 1533-position model. The record is from RNAcentral.
GACGAACGCUGGCGGCGUGCCUAAUACAUGCAAGUAGAACGCUGAAGGAGGAGCUUGCUCUUCUGGAUGAGUUGCGAACGGGUGAGUAACGCGUAGGUAACCUGCCUGGUAGCGGGGGAUAACUAUUGGAAACGAUAGCUAAUACCGCAUAACAGUAGAUGUUGCAUGACAUUUACUUAAAAGGUGCAAUUGCAUCACUACCAGAUGGACCUGCGUUGUAUUAGCUAGUUGGUGGGGUAACGGCUCACCAAGGCGACGAUACAUAGCCGACCUGAGAGGGGGAUCGGCCACACUGGGACUGAGACACGGCCCAGACUCCUACGGGAGGGAGCAGGAGGGAAACUGCGGCAAUGGGCGGAAGUCUGACCGAGCAACGCCGCGGGAGUGAAGAAGGUUGUCGGAUCGUAAAGCUCUGUUGUAAGAGAAGAACGAGUGUGAGAGUGGAAAGUUCACACUGUGACGGUAUCUUACCAGAAAGGGACGGCUAACUACGUG